RNAcentral lists this ribosomal RNA (1343 nucleotides) under uncultured bacterium. RNAcentral describes it as "16S ribosomal RNA". It matches the Rfam family "Bacterial small subunit ribosomal RNA", at positions 28 to 1378 of the family's 1533-position model. The record is from RNAcentral.
GACGAACGCUGGCGGCGUGCUUAACACAUGCAAGUCGAACGGAAAGGCCCUGCUUUUGUGGGGUGCUCGAGUGGCGAACGGGUGAGUAACACGUGAGUAACCUGCCCUUGACUUUGGGAUAACUUCAGGAAACUGGGGCUAAUACCGGAUAGGAGCUCCUGCUGCAUGGUGGGGGUUGGAAAGUUUCGGCGGUUGGGGAUGGACUCGCGGCUUAUCAGCUUGUUGGUGGGGUAGUGGCUUACCAAGGCUUUGACGGGUAGCCGGCCUGAGAGGGUGACCGGCCACAUUGGGACUGAGAUACGGCCCAGACUCCUACGGGAGGCAGCAGUGGGGAAUAUUGCACAAUGGGCGGAAGCCUGAUGCAGCAACGCCGCGUGCGGGAUGACGGCCUUCGGGUUGUAAACCGCUUUCGCCUGUGACGAAGCGUGAGUGACGGUAAUGGGUAAAGAAGCACCGGCUAACUACGUGCCAGCAGCCGCGGUGAUACGUAGGGUGCGAGCGUUGUCCGGAUUUAUUGGGCGUAAGGGGCUCGUAGGUGGUUGAUCGCGUCGGAAGUGUAAUCUUGGGGCUUAACCCUGAGCGUGCUUUCGAUACGGGUUGACUUGAGGAAGGUAGGGGAGAAUGGAAUUCCUGGUGGAGCGGUGGAAUGCGCAGAUAUCAGGAGGAACACCAGUGGCGAAGGCGGUUCUCUGGGCCUUUCCUGACGCUGAGGAGCGAAAGCGUGGGGAGCGAACAGGCUUAGAUACCCUGGUAGUCCACGCUGUAAACGGUGGGUACUAGGUGUGGGGUCCAUUCCACGGGUUCCGUGCCGUAGCUAACGCUUUAAGUACCCCGCCUGGGGAGUACGGCCGCAAGGCUAAAACUCAAAGGAAUUGACGGGGCCCCGCACAAGCGGCGGAGCAUGCGGAUUAAUUCGAUGCAACGCGUAGAACCUUACCUGGGUUUGACAUGGAUCGGGAGUGCUCAGAGAUGGGUGUGCCUCCUUUGGGGUCGGUUCACAGGUGGUGCACGCCUGUCGUCAGCUCGUGUCGUGAGAUGUUGGGUUAAGUCCCGCAACGAGCGCAACCCUUGUUCACUGUUGCCAGCACGUUAUGGUGGGGACUCAGUGGAGACCGCCGGGGUCAACUCGGAGGAAGGUGGGGAUGACGUCAAGUCCUCAUGCCCCUUAUGUCCAGGGCUUCACGCAUGCUACAAUGGCUGGUACAGAGAGUGGCGAGCCUGUGAGGGUGAGCGAAUCUCGGAAAGCCGGUCUCAGUUCGGAUUGGGGUCUGCAACUCGACCUCAUGAAGUCGGAGUCGCUAGUAAUCGCAGAUCAGCAACGCUGCGGUGAAUACGUUCCCGGG